GGAUCUCAACAACUAAACAAUAAGAAAUUGCAAAUAAAACGUACUUUAUUCACACAACUUUUAUAAAGAACAGAAACAUGUAAUCGUAAGUAUAUACAUAUUAUAAAUUCCUAGCAAGACACCAAAAUAGUCAAAACAAUUCAUUCAUUUGCAUCACUUCCACAUUCAUGCUUCAAUAGCGUAAUAGAACGAGGAGAAAAAUUAGAACCUGGUACAACGAAGCUCGCUUGAUAUAAAAUUACCGCAACAACUCGAACAACGAUCGAACCCGAACAAAACCAACAGACCACACCUCGAAAAAAAGGCUUCGAACAACAGCAACAACUCGAACAACGAUCGAACACGAACAAAAACCAACAGACCACACCUCGAACAAAAUGGCUUCGAACAGCACCCCAAUCGAUCAACCUCGGAUCUUCAAUAUACUCAGUUCAACAAUGGCGGCAAGAACAAACAAUGGAUAUUUUUUAAGAGAAAACAGAAGACGAUGGAGAUGAGGUGAAGAACAGUGGAGUCUUUGGCUAUGGGGUUUCAUGGAAGCUCGGGUUCUCUCAUGGCUACUGGUUGUUGGUGGUUGACUGGUUAUGGCGACGUAGGAUUGGUGGUUGGCGAGUGAGCUGAGGAUGAUGGACGCUGGGCUGCUGGCGUGGUCGACUGGUUUGACAGAAGCGAGAAAUUGGUGGUGAUGGCUGGCUGUUCGUCGACUAGUGGAAGCAGCAGCGGUGGACGGGUUCGUAGAAGUUACUGGUUGGGUUCACGGGGGUUGGGACGUGGGGUGACUGGACGAAGCAGAAGGGUUUUUUGACUUGUUUUGUUUGAAUAUGAAGAAGACGAAUAAGACGAAGAAGGCAUAGUGUCUCUUCCAGCUCUAAGGGUCUCCCCCAAAAAUAUCUCCUCCC
Molecule: long non-coding RNA, 899 nt
Filed under: Nicotiana benthamiana
Lineage: Eukaryota; Viridiplantae; Streptophyta; Magnoliopsida; Solanales; Solanaceae
Description: long non-coding RNA (NBEN_LNC010446)
Source: RNAcentral